This 43-nucleotide small RNA is filed under the name Arabidopsis thaliana (thale cress). RNAcentral describes it as "ATSL143440". Lineage: Eukaryota; Viridiplantae; Streptophyta; Magnoliopsida; Brassicales; Brassicaceae. The record is from RNAcentral.
AGGUUCUUCAAGAUUAGGACAAGUAGACGAGAGAGAGGAAGCU